Molecule: ribosomal RNA, 466 nt
Filed under: uncultured bacterium
Lineage: Bacteria
Description: partial 16S ribosomal RNA
Rfam family: Bacterial small subunit ribosomal RNA
Source: RNAcentral
GAUGAACGCUGGCGGCGUGCCUAACACAUGCAAGUCGAGUGAACCCUUUGGGGUGAGCGGCGGACGGGUGGGUAACGCGUGGGUAACCUGCCCUAUACACACGGAUAACGUACCAAAAGGUACGCUAAUACGGGAUAAAGUUGUUGGAUGGCAUCUUCUAACAAUCAAAGCUCCGGCGGUAUAGGAUGGACCCGCGUCUGAUUAGCUAGUUGGUGAGGUAAUGGCUCACCAAGGCGACGAUCAGUAGCCGACCUGAGAGGGUGAUCGGCCACACUGGAACUGAGACACGGUCCAGACUCCUACGGGAGGCAGCAGUGGGGAAUAUUGCACAAUGGGCGAAAGCCUGAUGCAGCAACGCCACGUGAGCGAUGAAGGUCUUCGGAUCGUAAAGCUCUGUCCUCAAGGAAGAUAAUGACGGUACUUGAGGAGGAAGCCCCGGCUAACUACGUGCCAGCAGCCGCCGUAA